RNAcentral lists this long non-coding RNA (918 nucleotides) under Elaeis guineensis (African oil palm). RNAcentral's name for it is "long non-coding RNA (EGUI_LNC041240)". The record is from RNAcentral. Lineage: Eukaryota; Viridiplantae; Streptophyta; Magnoliopsida; Arecales; Arecaceae.
ACUAACGUCUGACAUCUAUCCAACAUCUGCAGACAAUUAGACACCUGAACUGAUCAAUCUCCAACUUUCACUGCAGGUAUACUUUAGCCCUCACCGAUCUUUAUCUCACUGAAUGCAGUUGGCUCCAGCCGCUUCUUUCCCACGGCAUCUACCUCUAUCGGAUCAUGUCGAAGCCUCCAGAAAUGAAGCUAGUCCGAUCCUACCAGCAUCCUCAUUUUAAAAUUCAAAAGCCCCCACCAUAUUUAGCUAACUCUGGAACAAAUAAGACAUGUGUAACCACCUGAUCUUAAAAAUUCUGAUUGAAAAUCCCACCAUAUCGUGACUAAAUCGGCCACGUAACUUGCUCAAAAUGAUUUUCUAACCCUACAAAAGGACCUUCAGAGGAUCCCCAAGGUACGUGCGCAUGAUCUCUUUAGGCACUCCUUCUCAUCUAUUUCUUCUAAUUUCUAACUUGAGCAUCGAAGGAUCUCCGUCGGAGCCAACUGUAGUUAGAGCUUAUCUUGCAAGUUUCUCUUCCAGGAGAAUGUGCCACUACUCCAGCCUUUCCGAUCGAGUCCUAAAUUUUAGUGGUAAUAGGUAUGUAUCAAGAUAGAUCUUUUUUGACCAUUGAGAUCGGGAGUGCUAAUCGACGGACUGGAAGGACUUUACUGGUAGUGGUUCGUGUAUGAGAACCUUGACGAUGUCUGCCUCCGAUGUGGCCACUUCCAUGGUCCGACAGCAUGUUCGACAGGUGGGGAAGAGGGGAGCUCGUUGGUGGGUCUUUGCUUGGAGAAUAUGGUCUGAGCCAAAGGAGUAGAGAUGCUGGGGCCUUGGCUAAUUGCCGUCCGAUAAUGGAUGCCUGGACUAGAGGCAAACGGAGGACAGGAGAAGAAAGGGGCCAAGUCAACUUGGCCCCUCGAGUCGAAAACUCAAUCGGGC